RNAcentral lists this long non-coding RNA (2020 nucleotides) under Mus musculus (house mouse). RNAcentral's name for it is "long non-coding RNA chr17:78374555-78376575". Lineage: Eukaryota; Metazoa; Chordata; Mammalia; Rodentia; Muridae. The record is from RNAcentral.
GUAGUGUUGGGAAGAAAAAAAAAUGGUCAGCUUGGCUCGGGGAGAAAGCCAGUAAAAAAAUAAAAGCAAUCUAUGGCCCAGAGGAAUUUCUUUUUCCUGUUACUCUCAAGACUGUUGGUUGCUGCAAAGGUAGGGCCUGAAUGAGCAGGAUCACAAAAGGCCUUGCAACCGAGCUGCCAUACCACACCAGACAAGCGCAUCAGAACUCUCGAUAGCCAUCCCAGGUCUAAAGCCACAAGUUUCUAUAGAGUCACAGCCGCAGUAGGCAGUGAGGAAGCCAGGGAGAUGGAAAGCAACAGUUCUCGAAAGCGGGUUCUUGAGGAUGUAUUCACUUUUUUUGCUGCUGCUGUUUUCUUCCGUGCCAACCAGCCAGUUCCUAGGAGACACAGCAGGUUGAGUAGGAACGAGGUCACCUCUUGACCUGACCACUGGAGCUUUGCUCGCUACGUGACAGGAAGGGCAACGGCGAAGGACACCAGGCAUUUCCAGGGGCUACACUUCAUUGUUCCUUGUUGUUUUCUUCUGUGCUAUCAUUGGUUGUUCAUAGUUUUGUUAAAGCUCUAGCUUAAGAAGAAACUUUUGAGAAAAAGAAAAAAAAGGACUGUUUGGGAUUUUUUUUCCUUAUUAUAUACUGAUUCUACAAAAUAGAAACUACUUCAUUUUAAUUGUAUAUUAUUCAAGCACCUUUGUUGAAACUCAAAAAAAAAGAUGCCUCUUUAAACUUUAGCAAUUAUAGGAAUAUUUAUGUAACUAUCUUAUGCUUCAAAAACAAGAGUAUUUGUGUGCAUGUGUAUAUAAUAUAUAUACAUAUAUAUUUAUACACAUACAGUUUAUGUUUUCCUGUUGAAUGUAUUUUUAUGAGAUUUUAACGAGAACAAAGGCAGAUAAACAGGCAUUCCAUAGCAAUGCUUCCGAUCACUUAGGGUUUUUUGAAUAACAUGAUCUCAUUUACCUGCAGUUUAAUUGCAAAGGAAAGGGUGUGUGUGUGUGGGUGGGUGGGUGUGUGUGUGGGUGUGUGUGGGUGUGUGUGUGUGUGUGUGUACAUGAGCGUGAGUGUAUACAUAUGGAGCAACCAGCAGUUCACAUGCUAUGGAAAGGAUAUUCCUUUAUUAAUUUUUUUCUUCUUCAUUUGGAUUUUCUUUCACCUGGUUUCCAGUUUGCUCACUGACCAGAGGCAAUGAUGCCAGCAUUGUGUCUGCAUCACUAAUCAGCUCCUGGAUUUUUUUUUCUUUUCUUUCAAACAACUGUUUGAAACAACUACUGGAAUAUUGUCCACAAUAAGCUGGAAGUUUGUUGUAGCUUGCCUCAAAUAUAACUGACUGUAUGCUAUAGUGUUAACUUUUCAAACAGCUCUUAGCACUUUUAUACUAAUGACCCACUCGUGCAUUGAUUUUCCUUUAAAAAUGCUUGUUGUGAAAGACACGGAUACCCAGUAUGCUUAAUGUGAAAAGAAGAUAUGUUCUGUUUUGUAAAGGAACUUUCAAGUAUUGUUGUAAAUACUUGGACAGAGGUUGCUGAACUUAAAAAAAAUUAAUUUAUUAUUAUAAUGACCUAAUUUAUUAAUCUGAAGAUUAACCAUUUUUUGUCUUAGAAUAUCAAAAAGAAAAAGGUGUUCUAGCUGUUUGCAUCAAAGGAAAAAAAGAUUUAUUAUCAAGGGGCAAUAUUUUUAUCUAUUUCCAAAAUAAAUUUGUUAAUGAUAUAAUGUUACUGAGAUAGAUUUACAUCAGCCUAAUUAGAAUAAAAUUUUGUUGACAAUUUAUCCAUUCCUGGCAUAAGAGAAAAAAAAAAGAACUUUAUCAAAAAAAAUUGUAAAUGCUUGCUUUUUGUUUUUUUUUUUUUUCAAUCAUGCCCAUAUGAAAAUACUAACAGGAUAUAGGGCAAGGUGUAAAUUUUUUUUAUUAUUUUAAAGAUAUGAUUUAUCCUGAGUGCUGUAUCUAUUACUCUUUUACUUUGGUUCCUGUUGUGCUCUUGUAAAAGAAAAACAAAUAUAAUUUCCUGAAGAAUAAACCGGGCAUAUAGC